UUCAUCCGAUUGUCCUCUUCGGAUCGUCUAUAUAUUUGCCGUCUACUUCUUUUCUUCACCCCUCCAAACAAAAUCCAGAGCUCUCUCUCUUUGCCUCUGUCUCUUCUACCCUGCUCUCUUCUUCUCUGGGUUUAGGAAGCAAUGGACGCGUAUGCCAUUCAUCUCGCCAUGGCGGCGCUGGUGGGCGCCUCCUUCGUGGCCGUCUCGGCCUAUUACAUGCACCGGAAAACCCUAAGCCAGUUGCUGGAGUUCGCGCGGACGGUGGAGCGCGAAAGGGCCGCCGCCGGAGACGACGAUGAGGACGGUGGAGUCGAGAGGGAGGGGGAGGCCUACCGGAGGUCGUCUUUGCGGCGGGGCCACCAGCAGCACUCCCGCCGGAAGGGGGCGGGGUACUAUCGCCGCGGCGGCGGGUCGGCGUCGCUGCCGGACGUGAUACUGGCGGCGGCCGAGGUCGACGGGGAGGAGGAGGAUGAGGAGGAACAGCAGAUGUGGCCGGCGAUGAAUGGGCCGUUGUCAGCGGCGGCGACCGCUGAAGGCCUGCCAAUACCCCCCGGCCUGCCUAGGCUCCACACGGUCCCGGAAGGUAGUAAGCAAUCCAUUCAUGGGAGUUCAAUUAAAAAAGCCGGACAUAUCAGGCCAACUUCUCCCAGGUCUCCUGUUGCUAGUGCCAGUGCCUUUGAGAGUGUGGAGGGAUCGGAUGAAGAAGAUAAUCUGCACAGUGACUCUAAACUUGACAAUACCUACUUGAACACAAAUGGCGACAUUGGACCGGAGCAUAAAAGCAUAUAUCAAGCUAUGCCUAAUCAAAUCGCUGACAAUGGAGAUUCAAAGUCAUUACCUGCAGCUAGCAUGAUUCGAUCUCAUAGUGUAUCUGGUAAUAUGCAUGGUGCCCAGCCUGAUCCAGUAGCGGCAGAUAUUCUUAGAAAAGAGCCUGAACAAGAAACGUUUGUCAGACUGAAAAUUACACCCAGUGAGACACCGAAUGCGGAUGAAGCCGAGGUCUACAAAAUUCUUCAGAAAUGUCUUGAGUUGCGAGAAAGUUAUUUAUUCCGAGAAGAGGUUGCUCCUUGGGAGAAGGAAGUUAUAACUGACCCCAGUACACCAAAGCCUAAUCCUAGCCCAUUUGCCUAUACACCUGAACAGAAAACAGAUCAUUUCUUUCAAAUGGUAGAUGGGGUCGUUCAUGUAUAUGCAAAUAAGGAAUUAACAGAAAGACUUUUCCCUGUGGCUGAUGCUACAACAUUUUUUACGGAUUUGCAUUAUAUCCUCCGAGUAAUUGCAGCUGGAAAUAUCAGAACUGUAUGCCACCACAGAUUAUGUCUUCUAGAGCAAAAAUUUAAUAUACACUUAAUGCUCAAUGCGGAUAGAGAGUUUCUUGCUCAAAAAAGUGCACCACAUCGUGAUUUUUAUAAUGUCAGGAAGGUUGACACUCAUGUUCAUCACUCAGCAUGCAUGAACCAGAAACAUCUGUUGAGAUUUAUAAAGUCGAAGUUGAGGAAGGAACCUGAUGAGGUUGUAAUCUUUAGGGAUGGCACGUAUAUGACUUUGAAAGAGGUUUUUGAGAGUUUGGACUUGAGCGGGUACGACCUCAGUGUUGAUCUGUUAGAUGUCCAUGCUGACAAGAGCACUUUUCAUCGCUUUGACAAGUUCAAUCUUAAGUACAAUCCUUGUGGCCAGAGUAGGCUGAGGGAGAUUUUUCUUAAGCAAGAUAAUCUCAUCCAAGGCCGCUUCCUUGCUGAGCUAACAAAACAAGUCUUUAGUGAUCUUGCUGGGAGUAAAUAUCAGAUGGCUGAGUAUAGGAUAUCAAUAUAUGGACGGAAACAAAGUGAGUGGGAUCAACUCGCAAGUUGGAUAGUGAAUAAUGAGUUGUACAGCGAAAAUGUUGUCUGGUUGAUUCAGAUUCCACGGCUAUAUAAUGUCUACAAGGAAAUUGGUAUAGUUACAUCAUUCCAGAACAUUCUGGACAAUAUCUUCCUUCCCCUUUUUGAGGUCACUGUGGACCCGGAAUCGCAUCCUCAGUUGCACGUUUUCUUAAAACAGGUUGUGGGGUUGGAUUUGGUGGAUGAUGAAAGUAAACCUGAAAGACGGCCAACAAAGCACAUGCCUACACCAGCUCAAUGGACCAAUAUCUUUAAUCCUGCAUUCUCUUAUUAUGCCUACUAUUGUUAUGCCAACCUAUACACAUUGAACAAGCUUCGUGAGUUAAAGGGCAUGACAACUAUCAAAUUUCGUCCCCAUGCUGGAGAGGCUGGUGAUAUUGACCACCUUGCUGCGACAUUUCUUGUUGCUCAUAAUAUUGCUCAUGGAAUCAACUUAAGGAAAUCCCCUGUUCUUCAACAUUUGUAUUAUCUUGCUCAGAUUGGUUUGGCAAUGUCUCCUUUGAGCAACAACUCCUUGUUUCUUGAUUACCAUCGGAACCCUUUCCCGCAAUUCUUCCAUAGAGGCCUAAAUAUUUCUCUCUCAACAGACGAUCCUUUGCAAAUACACCUAACAAAAGAACCUUUGGUGGAGGAAUACAGUAUUGCAGCUUCGCUAUGGAAGUUAACCGCAUGUGAUUUAUGUGAAAUUGCUAGAAAUUCAGUUUUACAGUCGGGCUUCUCGCAUGCUCUCAAGUCACAUUGGAUUGGUAGAACUUACUAUAAGAGAGGUCCUGAUGGGAAUGAUAUUCAUAAGACGAAUGUUCCUCAUAUCCGAGUGGAGUUUCGUGACACGAUAUGGAGAGAAGAGAUGCAGCUAGUUUAUUUGGGUAUGGCAGAUUUGCCUGAAGAAUUGGACAAAUGAGGUGUUUUUGGCUGUGAGUUAUAUUCUAUUCUUCAUGGUUAUUGGCUCAGUUUUCUGAGAACGGUGGCCCCUGGCUCAUCUACCUUACGUUUUAGAUAAAGAUGCCUGUACCCGUGCAUGCAAAAUCAGAGAUGGGCUUGCUUGGGGGUGGAGAGUUGGACACAAGCUAUAUAAAACUUGGUUAGAAACACACUAGCUGUAAGCUAAAGACCACAAUAAUGGCAGAGGCUGGUGCAUAAUCUUUUCACUCUGAAUGAAGGAAAUUAAAAGAGAAACAGUGAUGAAUCUGAUUGUAGAUUAAUAGUUUAUGAUAUUUCGGCAUAUGUUUCUACAAAUAAUGGUUCUUCCUUCAAGGAAUCCUUAGUCACAUACGUAUAGGCCUUUUUUUUUUAUUUAUUUGUUGCUUGCAGUACGGCAGAAAUUUUGUGCUAUUUUUCUGCAUUAAUAUCUUAUAAACCUGAAGGAGCCAGUGUUACGUGUCCUCAUUAGCUGAUAAUUUGAAAUAAACUGGGCUUUCGUAUUUUGACAAUUUCAA
This is an RNA transcript of Phoenix dactylifera (date palm), 3316 nucleotides long. It is a transcript of the gene named AMP deaminase, putative / myoadenylate deaminase, with no coding region annotated. Lineage: Eukaryota; Viridiplantae; Streptophyta; Magnoliopsida; Arecales; Arecaceae. The record is from RefSeq and is a predicted model, not a curated record.